UGCAGUCGAGCGUGCGUAGCAGUACGUCAGCGGCAGACGGGUGAGUAACGCGUGGGAACGUACCUUUUGGUUCGGAACAACACAGGGAAACUUGUGCUAAUACCGGAUAAGCCCUUACGGGGAAAGAUUUAUCGCCGAAAGAUCGGCCCGCGUCUGAUUAGCUUGUUGGUGAGGUAACGGCUCACCAAGGCGACGAUCAGUAGCUGGUCUGAGAGGAUGAUCAGCCACAUUGGGACUGAGACACGGCCCAAACUCCUACGGGAGGCAGCAGUGGGGAAUAUUGGACAAUGGGCGCAAGCCUGAUCCAGCCAUGCCGCGUGAGUGAUGAAGGCCCUAGGGUUGUAAAGCUCUUUUGUGCGGGAAGAUAAUGACGGUACCGCAAGAAUAAGCCCCGGCUAACUUCGUGCCAGCAGCCGCGGUAAUACGAAGGGGGCUAGCGUUGCUCGGAAUCACUGGGCGUAAAGGGUGCGUAGGCGGGUCUUUAAGUCAGAGGUGAAAGCCUGGAGCUCAACUCCAGAACUGCCUUUGAUACUGAGGAUCUUGAGUUCGGGAGAGGUGAGUGGAACUGCGAGUGUAGAGGUGAAAUUCGUAGAUAUUCGCAAGAACACCAGUGGCGAAGGCGGCUCACUGGCCCGAUACUGACGCUGAGG
RNAcentral lists this ribosomal RNA (650 nucleotides) under uncultured bacterium. RNAcentral's name for it is "bacterial SSU rRNA". It matches the Rfam family "Bacterial small subunit ribosomal RNA", at positions 56 to 751 of the family's 1533-position model. The record is from RNAcentral.